GGAUUUAUUUGCUCUUUUAGUAUUUGUCUAGUAGGUUUUCUCACUGAGAAAGCCCCC
The sequence is a small nuclear RNA, 57 nucleotides long. Its record names the gene U7. It matches the Rfam family "U7 small nuclear RNA". Rfam says of the family: Animal histone pre-mRNAs are spliced by a different mechanism than nuclear pre-mRNAs and self-splicing introns. This processing involves the U7 snRNP, which contains only one RNA species: U7. The record is from Ensembl.